UUACGGGAGGCAGCAGCUAAGAAUAUUCCGCAAUGGACGAAAGUCUGACGGAGCGACGCCGCGUGGAUGAUGAAGGCCGAAAGGUUGUAAAGUCCUUUUGUCGACGAAGAAUAAGUGGGGGAGGGAAUGCCCUCAUGAUGACGUUAGUCGGCGAAUAAGCCCCGGCUAAUUACGUGCCAGCAGCCGCGGUAACACGUAAGGGGCAAGCGUUGUUCGGAAUUAUUGGGCGUAAAGGGUACGUAGGCGGUCCUGUAAGCCCGGCGUGAAAUACUGGAGCUUAACUCCAGAACUGCGCUGGGAACUGUAGGACUUGAGUCAUGGAAGGGGAGUUGGAAUUCCAGGUGUAGGGGUGAAAUCUGUAGAUAUCUGGAAGAACACCGGUGGCGAAGGCGAACUCCUGGCCAAUGACUGACGCUGAGGUACGAAAGUGCGGGGAGCAAACAGGAUUAGAUACCCCGGUAGUCC
This 465-nucleotide ribosomal RNA is filed under the name uncultured bacterium. RNAcentral's name for it is "bacterial SSU rRNA". It matches the Rfam family "Bacterial small subunit ribosomal RNA", at positions 339 to 796 of the family's 1533-position model. The record is from RNAcentral.